UACAGCCACAAACAUGCAUUGCCUGUCAAUAUUGCUGAUUCUGGUAGCUGCACCCUGUCUUGAUUGUAUUGAGCUGGAUCAACCUGCAGUCAUGGUAGUAAAACCUGGAGAAUCGUUUUCCAUUGCCUGUAAGAUUACUGGAUAUUCAGCCUCAGGUGGUGGCUACACAAACUGGAUACGACGUUCAAGUGGAAAAGCACUGGAAUGGAUUGGAUGGUUCCUUAGUUCCAGUAGCAAUGGUGUCAUAGAUUCACUGAAAAACAAGAUCAGUUUCACUGCUGAAUCCUCCAGCAACACAGUUUUUUUAAAAGGAAAAGACUUUAACACUGAGGACACAGCUGUGUAUUACUGUGCUCGUGAUACACUGUGA
Molecule: non-coding RNA, 370 nt
Organism: Xyrauchen texanus (razorback sucker)
Lineage: Eukaryota; Metazoa; Chordata; Actinopteri; Cypriniformes; Catostomidae
Source: the annotation of a RefSeq genome assembly